Molecule: ribosomal RNA, 258 nt
Filed under: uncultured bacterium
Lineage: Bacteria
Description: partial 16S ribosomal RNA
Rfam family: Bacterial small subunit ribosomal RNA
Source: RNAcentral
AGCGAACGCUGGCGGCAUGCUUAACACAUGCAAGUCGCACGGUCGGGUUUCGGCCCGGCAGUGGCGGACGGGUGAGUAACGCGUAGGUAUCUAUCCUUGGAUGGGGGACAACCGUGGGAAACUACGGCUAAUACCGCAUGACGACCGAGGUCCAAAGGCCGCGAGGCCGUCUGGGGAGGAGCCUGCGUCCGAUUAGCUAGUUGGUGGGGUAACGGCCUACCAAGGCGGUGAUCGGUAGCUGGUCNGAGAGGAUGAUCA